UACAGAGGGUGCAAACGUUGCUCGGAAUUAUUGGGCGUAAAGGGCUCGUAGGUGGCCAACUAAGUCAGACGUGAAAUCCCUCGGCUUAACCGGGGAACUGCGUCUGAUACUGGAUGGCUUGAGUUCGGGAGAGGGAUGCGGAAUUCCAGGUGUAGCGGUGAAAUGCGUAGAUAUCUGGAGGAACACCGGUGGCGAAGGCGGCAUCCUGGACCGACACUGACACUGAGGAGCGAAAGCCAGGGGAGCAAACGGG
Molecule: ribosomal RNA, 253 nt
Filed under: uncultured bacterium
Lineage: Bacteria
Description: partial 16S ribosomal RNA
Rfam family: Bacterial small subunit ribosomal RNA
Source: RNAcentral